Molecule: ribosomal RNA, 434 nt
Filed under: Babesia bigemina
Lineage: Eukaryota; Apicomplexa; Aconoidasida; Piroplasmida; Babesiidae
Description: SSU rRNA
Rfam family: Eukaryotic small subunit ribosomal RNA
Source: RNAcentral
GGAUGUACAACCUCACCAGAGUACCAAUUGGAGGGCAAGUCUGGUGCCAGCAGCCGCGGUAAUUCCAGCUCCAAUAGCGUAUAUUAAACUUGUUGCAGUUAAAAAGCUCGUAGUUGUAUUUCAGCCUCGCGUUUUUUCCCUUGUUUUGGGUCUUUUCGCUGGCUUUUAUUUUACUUUGAGAAAAUUAGAGUGUUUCAAGCAGACUUUUGUCUUGAAUACUUCAGCAUGGAAUAAUAGAGUAGGACCUUGGUUCUAUUUUGUUGGUUUCGAGCCUUGGUAAUGGUUAAUAGGAACGGUUGGGGGCAUUCGUAUUUAACUGUCAGAGGUGAGAUUCUUAGAUUUGUUAAAGAACGAACCACUGCGAAAGCAUUUGCCAAGGACGUUUUCAUUAAUCAAGAACGAAAGUUAGGGGAUCGAAGACGAUCAGAUACCGU